Triticum aestivum (bread wheat) is the source of this 1172-nucleotide long non-coding RNA. RefSeq lists it as uncharacterized. NCBI's taxonomy places the organism in Eukaryota, Viridiplantae, Streptophyta, Magnoliopsida, Poales, Poaceae. The transcript is spliced from 2 exons. The record is from RefSeq and is a predicted model, not a curated record.
GGUCGCCGCCCCAGCUCACCCUAAUGGUGGAUCCUCCAUUGUUUAUAGGGCUUGGUGACGCUGAUGUUUUGUUAUUUUAACCGAUACUCACAUGGAUUUCUAUGAUGCUUCGGGGAAAUAUAUCAAAAGAACAUAUUCCCCUUGCGCAUGAGUCGGAUUAAACUGAACUUCGAAAGAUGCCACCUGCGUUUCAUGGUUGGAUAAAAAAGAUGCUAGGCUCAUCUUCUUCAUGGUUCUUCAUGGAGAAAUAUAUGUUACUUCAGCUGUUCAACAAAAGUUCCCGUUUUAUUGUCUUGUCUUGCUAAUUAUUUUGCAUGUUUGCGUUUCAAGUAUGAAACCUAUGUGGCUUGCAUCGACAAAAAGGUAAGCAUGCUUUGUAUGAGAUUUUUCAGACUCCAAGUCAACUUGAGUCAUCACUGAAACAACAUGUUCUGCCUCUACAUAGAUUUCAGAAGAGCACUGCCAUCUGUUGAUCAAAGGAGAAUGAAAAGAAAUGUUUAGCCGACCUUGUUCUAUUUCCUAUGUCUUUAUUUUCGAAUUUGGCUUUAUCUCCGAGCUGGAUUUAUAUAUGUUGCUGAAGUGAAAGUUAAUUUUUCUUUCAGUUCCCAGAACAAAAUAUCACGCCAGAGAGAAAAUGGAAGUUGCAAAACAUAUUGGGUGCCCAAGGCAAAGCCUGUAGUAGCGAACCAAAGGGAAGUGACGAUGCUGUUUGAAGGAAUUGCCUCUUGGCGGUGAGCUCCUUAUACAUCUGAACCACCGGCACGCGCGCACACGCACACCUGUGCAUCCUGCAAUGACCUGAAUGAUAAGCAGUACACCGGUGAUUUUCCCAAGGCAGAAGAAACAACUUUUGGCUUCUUGAUUGAUGUUGUCCAGAUCAGCGAACCUCAGUUUCAACAUCACGCAUACAAGUAAAAAGAGAUGAAAUGUUGAUCGGUCUGUGGUGAACCAAUGAUAAUUGCAACUUAAGGGCAGCAAUUCUGUUCAUUAAGAGUCAGGAGAGCAAUUCUCACGCUGAAGAACUAAGGGUCUCGGUUCUGGCCACAAGUUGAGGCUGGAAGCAUGCUGUUCAAAAAUGUAGAAGAUCUAUAUAAUCUCCAGGAUGAAAAAAAAAUGCGUGUGUGUGAUCUAUGACCAAAUGCAAAGGGGUGAUAUGUUUUUUUUUUCAUUUU